RNAcentral lists this ribosomal RNA (950 nucleotides) under uncultured bacterium. RNAcentral describes it as "bacterial SSU rRNA". It matches the Rfam family "Bacterial small subunit ribosomal RNA", at positions 523 to 1482 of the family's 1533-position model. The record is from RNAcentral.
AUACGUAGGUGGCGAGCGUUAUCCGGAAUUAUUGGGCGUAAAGAGGGAGCAGGCGGCACUAAGGGUCUGUGGUGAAAGAUCGAAGCUUAACUUCGGUAAGCCAUGGAAACCGUAGAGCUAGAGUGUGUGAGAGGAUCGUGGAAUUCCAUGUGUAGCGGUGAAAUGCGUAGAUAUAUGGAGGAACACCAGUGGCGAAGGCGACGAUCUGGUGCAUAACUGACGCUCAGUCCCGAAAGCGUGGGGAGCAAAUAGGAUUAGAUACCCUAGUAGUCCACGCCGUAAACGAUGAGUACUAAGUGUUGGGAGUCAAAUCUCAGUGCUGCAGUUAACGCAAUAAGUACUCCGCCUGAGUAGUACGUUCGCAAGAAUGAAACUCGAAGGAAUUGACGGGGGCCCGCACAAGCGGUGGAGCAUGUGGUUUAAUUCGAAGCAACGCGAAGAACCUUACCAGGUCUUGACAUCGAUCUAAAGGCUCCAGAGAUGGAGAGAUAGCUAUAGAGAAGACAGGUGGUGCAUGGUUGUCGUCAGCUCGUGUCGUGAGAUGUUGGGUUAAGUCCCGCAACGAGCGCAACCCCUGUUGCCAGUUGCCAGCAUUAAGUUGGGGACUCUGGCGAGACUGCCGGUGACAAGCCGGAGGAAGGCGGGGAUGACGUCAAAUCAUCAUGCCCCUUAUGACCUGGGCUACACACGUGCUACAAUGGACAGAGCAGAGGGAAGCGAAGCCGCGAGGUGGAGCGAAACCCAUAAAACUGUUCUCAGUUCGGACUGCAGUCUGCAACUCGACUGCACGAAGAUGGAAUCGCUAGUAAUCGCGAAUCAGCAUGUCGCGGUGAAUACGUUCUCGGGCCUUGUACACACCGCCCGUCACACCAUGAGAGUCGGUAACACCCGAAGCCGGUGGCCUAACCGCAAGGAAGGAGCUGUCUAAGGUGGGACUGAUGAUUGGGGUG